RNAcentral lists this ribosomal RNA (319 nucleotides) under uncultured bacterium. RNAcentral's name for it is "partial 16S ribosomal RNA". It matches the Rfam family "Bacterial small subunit ribosomal RNA", at positions 398 to 677 of the family's 1533-position model. The record is from RNAcentral.
CGCGUGUGUGAAGAAGGCCUUAUGCGUUGUAAAGCACUAAAGGCGAGGAGGACGGCUACUGAAGAUAAUACCUAAAGAUAGUGGAACGUUACUCGCAAGAUACUAAGCAGCCAGGGCUAACUCUUGGUGCCAAGNCUAGGCCCGGCGGGGUUAANNUAACANGAANGGGGNUUGCAANNGCGUUAAUCGGAUUUACUGGGCGUAAAGCGCGCGUAGGCGGCUAAUUAAGUCAAAUGUGAAAUCCCCGAGCUUAACUUGGGAAUUGCAUUCGAUACUGGUUAGCUAGAGUGUGGGAGAGGAUGGUAGAAUUCCAGGUUGG